CUGUAGGUUUCACAACAGGCAGGAAACACAGUAUGUCACACACAGAUGUGAUCACUGUGAACCCUUGGUUGUAUUUAGUUUGUCAUACUUUUAAGAACGCUGUGCCUUCUUAUUUUUUUUUUGUCCAGGAAAGUUUUUUUUUUUUUCUCUCAUAUAGGAUAAUCUUUCUGCUACAAGCCGUUAAAGAAAUAUUUGCAGAGUGACAAAGACAGAUCAAAGAGAGGCGUGGAAAAUCAAGAGCCGGAAAACAAGAGAGGCAGAGGGAGAGAGAGAGCAGUGUGUGUGUGUGUAUAUGUGUGUGUGUGUAUGUGUGUAAGAGAGAGAGAGAGAGAAACAAAAGAAGAUGGAGAGCGUUUUAUUGGAUCAGUCAGCCAGCGUGGAAGAACUGGUGGAAGUCUGCAUCAAAGCUUUCGAUGAUGAAGGAGUGCUAAAGGACGCCUCAGAUGUGCGGAUGUUUCUCAUGAUGCAUCCCUGGUACAUUUCCUCCACUGACUUUGCCAAGAAACUCCUUCUCAAGUCUCAGAAUUGCUCAGCUGGGUGCCGCUCUCAGAUUUGUCAUCUUGUCAAGUACUGGAUGAGCGAGUUCCCAGCCGAGUUUGACCUGAACCCGGAGCUGGCCGAGCAGAUCCGCUGUCUGAAAGAGCUGCUAGAGCAGAACGGUGAUGUGAGACGAAGUCUACUCAUAGACAUAGACAGUGUCCCAUCAUAUGAGUGGAAGCGGCAGCUGACCUCGAGUGUUCAGAAGAAAAGUAAGACCUCUCUGCUGUUUGAUCACUUGGACUCCUCGACCCUGGCUGAACACCUGACCUACAUGGAGUACAAAUCCUUCUGCAAGAUGCUGUUCCAGGACUACCACAGCUUUGUGAUGCAGGGCUGCACUGUAGACAACCCCAUCCUCGAGCGCUUCAUCACCCUCUUCAACAGUGUGUCACAAUGGAUCCAAAUGAUGGUGCUCAGUAAAACUACAGCGCAGCAGAGAGCCACCGUCAUUGGCGACUUCAUUAAAGUGGCCAAGAGGUUGCUGGAGCUCCAGAAUUUUAACACUCUAAUGGCAGUGGUAGGGGGCCUGAGUAACAGUUCCAUCUCCAGACUAAAAGACACUCAGGCUCUGAUCAGUAGUGAUGUUCGGAAGGAGUUUGAGGGACUUGUGGAGCUGAUCACGUCCAGUGGGAACUAUAGCCGCUAUCGACAACGCUUUUCAGAGUGCACAGGCUUCCGUUUCCCCAUCCUGGGUGUACACCUGAAAGACUUGAUUGCUGUUCAUGUGGCUCUUCCUGACUGGGCAGACCGGGAGAAAACCCAAGUCAACCUCACCAAGACACAGCAACUAUAUGCCAUCCUGCAGGAGCUAGCAUUGAUCCAGGCCACACCACCUAAAAUCGAUGCCAACCCAGACCUUCUCAACCUUCUCAUUGUGUCUCUGGACCAGUACCACACAGAGGAAGAAAUUUAUCAGCUUUCACUACAGAGAGAGCCACGCAGCCUCAAAUUAUCAGCAACCAGCUCAAAGCCACAAUCUCCUUUAAUAGAGCAGUGGGCGUCUUCAGUCAAACCCAAGGCAGAUCCAGUGAUCAUCAACAAACACAUAGAAAAGAUGGUGGAGUCUGUAUUUAAAAACUUUGACACGGAUGGGGAUGGCUACAUCACUCAAAAGGAGUUUGAAAGCAUCAAGAACAACUUUCCUUACCUCAGCAAGCUUAAUGACCUCGACCAAAACCAGGAUGGCAGAAUUAGCAGAGAGAAGAUGAUCGAGUAUUUUGCCAAGGCCAACUCCAUGCUGAACUGUAAAAUGGGUUUUGUGCACACAUUCACUGCCAUGAACUGCUACAAGCCCACAGUCUGCCAGCAGUGCUCAGGCAUUAUGUGGGGGUUUUACAAGCAAAGAUACAAAUGCAAAGUGUGUGGUGUUAGCUGUCAUAAGGACUGCUGUGCAGGUUUGGCAGUGGAGUGCCGAAAACGGACAAAAAGUGUCAGCUUUGACAGCAACGUUCCACGCAUUAGCCGCUCUUUCAGCCUGCCUCCUUCUACUAGAAAAAACAUCAAACCCGAGUGUGCAGUCAUCACAGAAGAGACUCAAGAGAAUCUAGCCGAGGAGGUGUUUGAUGACUAUCUCUGAGAAGGUAAGGAAAAAGCCCAAGACUAAAGAAACCAUCUACUUGGCUGAUUACAUUUCAGGAACACACAGUGCCUGUAAAGCUGCAGAAACCUGCCAUAUGACCCAGACAUGGAUCAAGAUCAUGCCCCAAAACAGUGUGUGUUUGAAGUUAUAAUACGGUCCACAAAUCCAAUGGUAAAUAUUCUCUUCCACCACUCACUGGCCACUUUAAGACUUUGAGAUCCUUAAAGACUUUGGAGUUUCAGUGCCACCUGUAGCCUCACAUACAGUACGUACCAUUUCUUGGCUGACAGCUGUGGACCCCUGAUAUAGGCUUCUGAUUUUGCCUCGAGGUUUGCUGUGUUGCGCAUUCUGCAAUGCUUUUCUGCUCAUCAUGGUUGUACCUGUUGUCUAUUUGAUUGUUACAUGAGUGUUACAUUCUGUUUAAGAUGAACUAGUAUAGCAAUUCUCCUAUGACAAGAAGAAUUACCACUAUUACUGUGUAUAUUACAUAUAUAAUAGCCUAUUAUCCAGCCUGGUUAAACUUCUAGAAAUAAAUACUCUUAUAUGGAAUAAUAAUAAGGAAGUAUUACAUAGAUUUUGAAUUAAUAAUCUUAUAUUGCUGUUCCUUUUUUUUUUUUUUUUUCAUCCAAGAUUUCUGAAAUCACAGCCAUAGUCAUUGUGAUCGCAUUGUUUCCCAUUCUAAUGUUUGAUAAAUGAAGCAAAUAAAUGAAGCUCCAGACCUGUAUCUGCAUGAUUUUAAGCAUUGCACUACUGACACGUGAUCAGUUAGUUGCAUGAAUGCAGGAAUGACAAAGUGUACAGGUGUUCCUAAUAUAGUGGCCAGUGAGUGUAUAAUAGAUUAAGCAUAUUUUCUUUUUUUUUUUAGGAUUGUACCAUAUGAUUUGUUAAGUAUCUUUUAUGUUUCCUAGACAAUAUUUUUUCUUGAUGGCUUGUUGUUACUGUAUGACCUGUUUUCUUUUUCUUUAAAUUAAAAUGUGCCUCUGA
RNA transcript from Clarias gariepinus (North African catfish), 3103 nucleotides. It is a transcript of the gene named RAS guanyl releasing protein 2 (calcium and DAG-regulated), with no coding region annotated. Lineage: Eukaryota; Metazoa; Chordata; Actinopteri; Siluriformes; Clariidae. The transcript has 18 exons. The record is from RefSeq and is a predicted model, not a curated record.